CAGGAUUUAGUUUAUUGAAAAUUUUACUUUUGGGUUGUAGAGAAUUUGUUCUGG
RNAcentral lists this transfer RNA (54 nucleotides) under Passalurus ambiguus. RNAcentral's name for it is "tRNA-Pro". Lineage: Eukaryota; Metazoa; Nematoda; Chromadorea; Rhabditida; Oxyuridae. The record is from RNAcentral.